RNAcentral lists this transfer RNA (74 nucleotides) under Esox niger (chain pickerel). RNAcentral's name for it is "tRNA-Lys". It matches the Rfam family "tRNA". Rfam says of the family: Transfer RNA (tRNA) molecules are approximately 80 nucleotides in length. Their secondary structure includes four short double-helical elements and three loops (D, anti-codon, and T loops). Further hydrogen bonds mediate the characteristic L-shaped molecular structure. tRNAs have two regions of fundamental functional importance: the anti-codon, which is responsible for specific mRNA codon recognition, and the 3' end, to which the tRNAs corresponding amino acid is attached (by aminoacyl-tRNA synthetases). tRNAs cope with the degeneracy of the genetic code in two manners: having more than one tRNA (with a specific anti-codon) for a particular amino acid; and 'wobble' base-pairing, i.e. permitting non-standard base-pairing at the 3rd anti-codon position. Lineage: Eukaryota; Metazoa; Chordata; Actinopteri; Esociformes; Esocidae. RNAcentral also lists the same sequence under 2 other names. The record is from RNAcentral.
CACUAAGAAGCUAAACUGGGUGUAGCGUCAGCCUUUUAAGCUGAAAACUGGUGACCCCCAACCACCCUUAGUGA